RNAcentral lists this ribosomal RNA (405 nucleotides) under Triticum aestivum (bread wheat). RNAcentral's name for it is "partial small subunit ribosomal RNA". The record is from RNAcentral. Lineage: Eukaryota; Viridiplantae; Streptophyta; Magnoliopsida; Poales; Poaceae.
AUGGCAUGGACCAGCGUCCGGCAUGUUUUUUGCGACCCGGUUACGACCACUGUCAGCAAGCCGCAGCUCCGGCAUGUUUUCCGCGACCAUGUUUUUCGUGAUCAAAAUCAAACCAAUAAUGACUCGGAGAAGGAUUGGGUCAUGAGCGUACAACGUCACCGAGCCGUUUUUGACCUCAUGCUGUUUGGCCGUUACUGCUUUUUCGCGGCUUUGAUCCGCCUUGUUUCAUUGCUGAGCCGCCGCUGGGUCGAUCUCCUGCCUUGGAACCUCUCCGGAUUAAAUCGCAGAACCGCUGACAAUGGGUUACCGGCUGUGUCUCCCACUGCGCGGUACCUGCUGCUGUUCCGGCGCACCACGGCGGGUCAUCGCGCUGCUGCCAACCAUCUUCAAAACGGCCUCGCCUGA